UAAAUAUUCGGUGUUCAACUAAACAAUAUUAAAAAAAAAUUAGUUAUGAUAAAUUUUUUAAUAUUUCGUUGUGAAUCCCUUGUUGUCUAUAACAAUUUGCAGGCUCUUUGGAAUUGAUUUAUUAACUUUCGAGUUUUCUCUAAUUAGUGUUUCCCUCUUAAGCUGAAGUAUGGUGUUAAAUUUCUUCUGUUAAACUCAUCUGGCCACUUCUUCCCAGGGAUAUGUAGUCAUUUAGGUAAAGAUCUGGGCUCUUGGCUGGUGUUUGUUUUGCCAUAGUUAAAGACAAGCUGCCCUGCAAAUUACAAAAUCAUCGCUACGCUAGCAGAGCCAACUGCUUCGGCUGCACAGCCGAUGCUUUCUCGCGCGCGAUCUCCUAAAAAUGUAAUUUGAUUAAAUGUUGAUGUUAAUGUGCUUUAUAUAGUGAAUAAUUGAUGAAAUUUCAAGUGCGAGGCCGACGAUUUCAUUAAAUUUGAGCAAUUAGACCAAUUACGAGAAAAGGAAAAUAACAAUAAGAGAACGAAAUAAAUAAAGGAAUUCUUUCUCUAAAGGGCACGCGCCCUUCUUCGCAAAGUUACUUGCGAUUAGAUUUUUAUAAGCAGAAUAGCAAAAUACAACAACAAAUACAACUCACAAAAGUGAUUAUUUAAGGUUAUUUAAUCAUGUCCCUUUUUCCAACGCAAACGAAAGAAAGUUGGGCCUAACUCCGUAUGACAAGGAAACGCACAAUACUCUGAAAUUUUACAUAUAUAAAAUUUGUGUAUUUAAAAUCCCUUAAAUUCUAUGUAUAAGUUAAAUAAUGAGUCAAAUUUAAAAAAAAAAUACAUUUUUAGGAAUACAAAUUUUAUGAAAUAAGUUUAAUUUUGCUUUAAUGAAAGGUUGAUGCAAAAAAUCUCUAAAGAUUUGAUGUAUUUGUGUUGAA
RNAcentral lists this small RNA (919 nucleotides) under Drosophila yakuba. RNAcentral describes it as "GE28061". Lineage: Eukaryota; Metazoa; Arthropoda; Insecta; Diptera; Drosophilidae. The record is from RNAcentral.